GGUUAAGCUUAGUGCUUCCUCUUUGUUUUCUUUGUUUUCUUUGUUGUUGAAGAGUAAUGGAUAGUUUUUGAAUACUGAGAAGUGAGUCUGUGGAAUAAAUCAGAGAUUGAUUUAUGAAUUAUUGAUUAUAUAAUUGGAAUAGUGAGUAAUUGAAUUAUAUGAGAAGUUAUUGGAAGAUUGAUUAUGGAUGGAAGAUUGAUUGUGGAUGGAAGAUUGAUUAUGGAUGGAAGAUUAUAAUUGUUGUUUAUUGAGAGUUGUAUGUGUGUGUUUCGACAGAGGCAGUCUGUGAUUAUAGGAAUUCUAUGAAUUUAGAUUGGUUGGAGUGAAGUCUGUUAUUCUUGAUGUUGGAUGGAAUUUAUUGAAUUUUGAGCGGUCUUUUGAGAGUGCAGGGUUGCACAUUGUGGUUAUUACCUGAUGAAGGAGUAUUGUUACUGGGAGGAAGCAUUGUAGUAUUUUUUAGUAUUUUAGUAGUUCGGAAUAUAGUUAAUUAUGUGACCCUAACAAGUG
Molecule: long non-coding RNA, 507 nt
Filed under: Physcomitrium patens
Lineage: Eukaryota; Viridiplantae; Streptophyta; Bryopsida; Funariales; Funariaceae
Description: long non-coding RNA (PPAT_LNC014035)
Source: RNAcentral